RNAcentral lists this transfer RNA (87 nucleotides) under bacterium endosymbiont of Pedicinus badii. It matches the Rfam family "tRNA". Rfam says of the family: Transfer RNA (tRNA) molecules are approximately 80 nucleotides in length. Their secondary structure includes four short double-helical elements and three loops (D, anti-codon, and T loops). Lineage: Bacteria; Pseudomonadati; Pseudomonadota; Gammaproteobacteria. The record is from Rfam by way of RNAcentral.
GCCCAGGUGGUGGAAUUGGUAGACACAAAGGACUUAAAAUCCUUCGGCUUAAAAAAAGCUUUACGAGUUCAAGUCUCGUCCUGGGUA